This is a long non-coding RNA of Cygnus olor (mute swan), 4319 nucleotides long. RefSeq lists it as uncharacterized. The transcript has 2 exons. The record is from RefSeq and is a predicted model, not a curated record. NCBI's taxonomy places the organism in Eukaryota, Metazoa, Chordata, Aves, Anseriformes, Anatidae.
CUUUUGCCCAUGGUGUCUUUUGUUUUAACCUCUUCAAAGUGGAUGUAAAGUGCUAACAGCAACAUGAUAGCACUCACCUUGUGCUCGUUUGCUUGCAAAGUGGCAAAUCCGGGGAGCCAGUCCCUAAAGCUGCUUUGUGAUGGGCUGCAGCUGGCUGGACAGGCUAUUGCAAGCAAGCAGAUAGCAUUCAGAGCUGGGAAAAGGAGAGCUGGGCUGGAGACUGAAUCACAAGAAGGAGUCUGGUGCAGCUUCACUGACACUUGUGGUUUCCUGGGCUGAGCCAGAGGAUUUCGAUCUUACAGUUUUGAAAAUCUGUGUGUGCAUGCACACGUUUGUCCAUGCUGCCUUGGACCCCGUGGCGUUUGGUGUUGUACAGGUUUGCAAAGAAGCUAUUCCUGCCUGGGAGAGUUUGAUACGACAUACGUGAGUGAGAGGAAAGGGAUCAAAUGCAUAUGCCAGUGAACGUGUGCGUGUCUGUAGUCAGUGAGGACUGCAGGCGGUGUUCCCAUCCUGCUGGCUUCAGUGAGGCAGGAGCACGCCCGAGAGCUCGAGGUGCUCAGCGGACGGCUUCGAACCGCGCUGAGCUGAGUAAACCGGGCAGGUUUACACAGGGCAAGGCAACAAGACCAGAGUUCAGAAAUCUGGUAAAGCUCUUCAGCGGUUAAUACAGGAAACUCUCAGUCCCUUUGGUGACCGACUCGUCAAACGGUUCGCUGCUGCUUGUGUUCUGUACGCGCUGGCAAUUGCCCGUCUGCGUCGCUUAAGGUUCUGCGGUUCUUCAGCUGUGAUGUGUUCAGCUAUUUUGGUGAAAUUCUUCUGCAGGGGUGGUUUUGUGUUCGCUUGUUUUUCCACUCAAGAGCUCGCCGUUCAUUUCUCUCUGCUGUGAUUGACUUCGAUCCCUGCAGAAGACUGGAAGGCAGGGCGUUGGAAAGGAACUGCUCAGAGCUGGUGAGGGGCUACUGCUGCACAUCUGACCCACGGUGUGCCUGAGCAGGGCUUCUGCUGCCUGCUUCUGCUGCCUGAGGCUGAUCAGGUCAGCUCAGAAAAAGGAACACCAAGGCUCUUCUCAAAGUCAGGGAUUUCUUUAGGAAAGUGGACUUGGAAGCUCUCCUCUUUCUGAAUUACAGAAGAAAAGUUUAUUUUGCUUUUAAGAAUAAUUAGGUAGUCAGGUUUCAUUUUGGAUACCAACUUGACACGGAAAAUCUUUCCAAACUUUUAACUCCUAUUCCCUUGCAUGUUGUGGACCACCCGGCCAAUAGGAUUUUAGAAGGAGCGGAGCAGGAACUGACCCCUUACAAGAUCAGUGCCAUGCACUUCAUCUCUUGCAUUCAGAAGUCUGGCGACUAAUGUAUUUUCUUACAGACUAAUUGUGCCCAUUAACUCCCUAUUUCUUUUUGGAGAUGGUGCAUCAGAACCAAAUGAGAAGACACCAAGAGGAGAUGCUCUUUUUUCAUUAUGAAAUGCUCUGUGAAAGCCUGUGUAGGUGUUUGGAAAAUACACCCUUUCCCUAGGCAAUGGUCAGACCUGCUGAACUCAACAGUAGUGCUUGGUGUAUUUUGCCUUCAGGAUUCAUCUCAGGUAAAGGGAGCUCUAGGAGGUUAUUUGUUACAGAGUCCUGAAGGAAAGGCUCAGAGACCCCAAGACAGAGCCAGGUGAUGCCAACCAGGUUCUAGCAUCGGGCUGACCAUCCUGCGCAGAGCCACGUAAAGCCGCGUAUCCACGCCUCUGCUAUCUGUGUAAGGAAGACACCAGCAGAAAUGGAGUGAAAAAGUAAUUCACCAUUAAAAUUGUUACAGCUCUCAUCAUCAAGGCUGGAACUGUCUGAGCUGUGCUCCCUUACUGUCCUUUUAAACAAACAAACAAAAAAACACAACAGCAACAGUUUUACCCCAUGCAGAACCUUAUUCAUGCUGUGCCUUAUAUGCAAGAGGAAAUUCAACUCAAUUAUAUUUAUCGUUCAUGAGAAUGGUGAAGGAUUUUUUAAUCAUGCUUUUCAAAAACUUAGUGAUGUAAUUGCUGAGAAGUUAAUGUGCCUUCAAAAUCAUAUUUAUGUGGGAUAGAAGGCCAAUAAAGCCUUGUUUAUUGGCACAUGUCUGGGAAGGCUGCAUUAGUUACAAGGUUAAAACACGAAUCUGAUCACACGAGAUCUGUAAUUGCUUUGUGCAGCUCAACCUUCAGAGCUUCGCAGUGGCGGCGAGCCAAAAUUCCCUCCUUUGGAUGCCUGCUCCAAAAGCCCGGCCACCCAUCAGCUGACCCCAGGUCUGGCCCCGACUUCCUUCCAGUGGGCUGGGGCCGGUGAGGCGCAUCCGACCGCCCGUGACUUCAUCCAGCAGAGAUGUGCUGCGUGUGGCUUUUCUCUAGUGCCCUGAAUUUCUGUAAGCGGAUGGACGUGAGUCACUGGGGUGGAGGGGUUUGUACCUCUUCCUACACUUAACUUUUCACCAGGCCUCGGUCUACAAAAUGAAACUUUUUUUUUUUCCCAAAACUGUUUAUUUUGCUGGAUGCACAGAUUUUUGGCACAGCAGAUCUUUGCUGUCUCAGAUCCCUACUGGGCACUGCAGGUGCUGCAUGGGACAGGCUCCUGGCCAGGGCUUCGUGGCUGUGGGGCUGCAGUCACCCAGGCUGGAUGGCCACAUCCCCCGGCAGGGUGACAUCCCUGGGCUGCUGGGGCUGGAGACAUGGCAGUGCGUCCCUGGGAAUGGUGGCAUCCCUGCCCUCCUGUCACGGGUCCCUGGGGCUGGAAACAUAGCAGCAGGCUUGGAUGGAUGUUAAGAGGCACCAUGAAUGUUUUAAUCAGUGGUGAAUGGCAAGGCUGUUGGAACCACUAGUUGUAUAAAUACUGAAAUUUAGGCUCAGAAAUUUUAUGUCCCAGUAAGUGAAGUGCGAGGAAAAGGGGAGUGGUGGCCAGCGUGCUCUUCGUGCCUCCCCUCCCAUUCUCUGCACUGCCCCCAGCAUUGCUCUCUAGAUCCGUGUGUCCCUUUCAUGUUGUUUGGAAACUUCAGGUGACAGUAGGAUCUCUACAGCCUCAUGUCUGCAUUUUUAGCUGAAUAACAAACCAGGCGAGGGUCCCUUCCAGAUUACUCUGCCUGGCAUGGAGGAGCAGGAGAUGACAGCGGAUGUUCUGCUGCCCCCCAGUUUCAAAUAAGCUGUGGACAAGACUCCUGUUGUGUUUGAGUAGCAUGGUAUUUUCUAAAGUGAUUAGUGUUUGGCUUGAUCUUGCUAAUCUCAACAUGAACGACCUCUUUGAGGGCAGAUUUCAAAAUCCCGAGAGAUCCAUCUCUGGUACGAUCUUACACAAGCACGCAGUAGCCUUGAGUGGUUGGUGUUUUGCAUAAGGCCAGUAAUCUGAUGGAGUGAGUAACAUACUGAUACUGCAGAAGCGUAGACACUCAAAUAGAUGUUUGCGAAAGGGCUGGAAUUCCCUCCUUUGUUUCACUUUGUUUUCCCACUGCUCUGCAGUCAGACACAGACGAACACCAGGGAAAGCAAACAAUCUGCAUUGCCACUUGUACAAUGGGAGGAAACGGGAACUGCACAGGUUUAAAAAAAAAUGGACAGAAAAACUAUUUCUGGUUGCUCUUGGGCCGUGAAGGCUGUGGUACAGUCGUUUGCAUCAGGAGUAAAAAAAAUGUCCUUUUCCUCAAGGCUGUUGUACCAUUGAAACGGCUCUUGUCCGUCCCUCUCCUCUAGCUGGUGUGGCUUGGGCAGAAUUUCAAGUGAUUGAUAAAAAUCAUACAUUCUGAUCUCUUCUCUGGCUAACGGGUUGCUAUUGUAGUUUACGGGAAGUCCUGUACCACUGCUGCCUUAGUUGUCUUCUACAGUGAACUCAGUUCCAGUGCUGUUGUUUUCUUUCUUGUUUCUCUAAGUGUGUGACAUAAAUAGGAGCACCGGGAGGAAUUCCAGGGUUUUGUUGGGUUUUGUAUGUUUAUUUAUUUAUUUUAAUCUUACCCCUGAAACUUAUAAAACUAAAAAAAAAUACGGAAAUUAUCAAACUAGUAUUUUUCAGUUUGGGUGAGCGUGCAAAAUGCUUACCUACUUCUGGGAUGCGAUAAAACUAGGGAGGGAGGGAAGCAAUGGAAGGAGCAGAAUGACCUGCACAGAAAUAGGGCAGUGGUGUUUGCUAGGAAAGGAACGUGCUUUUCACUGAAAACUCAAGUCAUUUUGCUAUAUACAUUUGCUGACGUUUGCAAAAAUACCCUUUUUAGUUUGGAAUGCAGUGUUUUCAUUUUUUGGAAUGCUUUCAUUUCUAUGCACGUACUAUGUAUCUAAUAUUUAUUAAUUUAACAUGCUUUGCCUUAAAGUGCACUGAGUGUUAUUAA